UACGGAGGGUGCGAGCGUUGUCCGGAAUCAUUGGGCGUAAAGGGCGCGUAGGUGGCCCGGUCAGUCCGUGGUGAAAGCGCGGGGCUCAACCCCGCGUCGGCCAUGGAUACUGCUGGGCUGGAGCACUGUAGAGGCAGGCGGAAUUCCGGGUGUAGCGGUGGAAUGCGUAGAGAUUAGGAAGAACACCAGUGGCGAAGGCGACUUACUGGACUGUAACUGACGCUGAGGCAUGAAAGCGUGGGGAGCAAACAGG
RNAcentral lists this ribosomal RNA (253 nucleotides) under uncultured bacterium. RNAcentral's name for it is "partial 16S ribosomal RNA". It matches the Rfam family "Bacterial small subunit ribosomal RNA", at positions 524 to 776 of the family's 1533-position model. The record is from RNAcentral.